GUCUAAGGCCAUACCACCCUGAAUGUGCCCAAUCUCGUCUGAUCUUGGAAGCUAAGCAAGGUCAGGACUGUUUAGUAUUUGGAUGGGAGAUCACCUGGGAAUACUGGGUGCUGUAGGCU
Ribosomal RNA from Cavia aperea (Brazilian guinea pig), 119 nucleotides. The record is from Ensembl. NCBI's taxonomy places the organism in Eukaryota, Metazoa, Chordata, Mammalia, Rodentia, Caviidae.